This 308-nucleotide long non-coding RNA is filed under the name Phascolarctos cinereus (koala). Its description in RNAcentral is "lncRNA (ENSPCIG00000033005.1)". The record is from RNAcentral. Lineage: Eukaryota; Metazoa; Chordata; Mammalia; Diprotodontia; Phascolarctidae.
GCCACCAUCCUCCAAAGGUCUAUGUAUGCUGUGCCCCUGACAAUACUGCCCUAGGUGGGGCACCGGCCAGGAGCCAGGGUUGACCUCUACAAGCAGCAAAACACAAAAUUUGCAGAACAAUGUAACCCCUGCUUUGAGUGGAUACAAUGAUGCAGAGACUUGGAACUGGAAGUGUGCAGCUUUUCUACAGGUACAAAUGUUGGCCUGGCUUUUUCAUUACCCAUCCAUGGAAAGAUUACAAGAAGGCUACAUAAGUACCUGCUGAGCUAAAGAAUAAAACCUCAAAGCAGAGUUACUCUGUAGGGUUU